AACACCGAAGUUAAGCAACAUCGAGCCUGGUUAGUAGCAAGAUGGGUGACCACUUGGGAAUACCAAGUGCUGUAAG
This is a non-coding RNA of Acanthosepion pharaonis, 76 nucleotides long. Lineage: Eukaryota; Metazoa; Mollusca; Cephalopoda; Sepiida; Sepiidae. The record is from the annotation of a GenBank genome assembly.